UUUUUCCUUCAGCUUUUUCAUGUCAAACAAUCACAUGCUGCCCUUUUCUUGAGCAUAACUGAUGAAAGAACAAGCUCAUCACGGUCACACCUGAGACCAAAGUUCUGCAAGCAAUGCAACUGAUGACAGAUAACCGUUUUAGACACAAUUCGGUGACCAAUGAGAAGGAAAUGAUCGGCAUGGUUUCCAUCGGAGAUGUUGUUCGUGCUGUGCUGAGUGAGCAUCGUGCAGAGCUGGACCGCUUGAACGCUUUCAUGUAGGGAGGAUAUUAGAUGAUGAUGAUGAUAAAAUAUUGUAUGUUUAACCCGUUGGACUUAAGCAAGCAAGCGGAGAGUUUGCAAAUGUGCUGUGUUUUUUAGAUUCUUCUCAAGUUCUUCUGUGAAUGUGCAAGUGAUGUUGGAAUAAUUCCCGUGUGGACCAAGUGUUCAAUAGUAAACAUUCUCAUGUUGCUUCUUCCUAUU
This is a long non-coding RNA of Hibiscus syriacus, 461 nucleotides long. RefSeq lists it as uncharacterized. The transcript has 2 exons. The record is from RefSeq and is a predicted model, not a curated record. Lineage: Eukaryota; Viridiplantae; Streptophyta; Magnoliopsida; Malvales; Malvaceae.